Molecule: long non-coding RNA, 1553 nt
Organism: Hemicordylus capensis (graceful crag lizard)
Lineage: Eukaryota; Metazoa; Chordata; Lepidosauria; Squamata; Cordylidae
Exons: 3
Source: RefSeq, a predicted model, not a curated record
GGCGGGACAUCAAACACAAAAUGGAGACUACACACAGAGAUAGCCACAAAAUGGACGGAGAUCUGAAACCACAAAACCUCCAGCUCUGAAAUUUAGGCAAUUUGUUUUGGAGCCAAAUCUUUCGGGACCUGCAGAUGGGCAAUUUGUUUUGUGCACAAAUCGCCCAAAACAGGCAGAUUUGGGUACAGCUUGUUCUGUACCCCAAAUGUUUUGCACAUCCCUACAUAGAAGGAGGUUUGGAAAAGGAACCACUGCUCAUUUCAUUGUUGAGUAUUCAGUGGAGAUGAUCUGACUGUGACCAAAAUCAGAUAAGGCUGGAGUAAUUAUAUCUGGCAAGCCCUGUGCCCUUGAAGAGAGAGAAUAUCUGCCACUGAACCCCAUUGUGAACCCUACCACCUUUUAAGAUCACCAAAAGAUGUUUGUCUGAGGGUGUUGCCAAUUCGCCUGGUGGUGUCUCAAAGACCAACCUCAAAAGUCUCGAGGUCAGCCCUACCAUGAAGCAGGGUGAAGCAGGACACUUCUGGUGGCAGAUGGUUGGCAAAUUGUCAGGGGCAGCAUGGGAGCCCACCCAGCAACCUCCUCCAUGACCUGCAGAGGAAGGAAGAUAAAAUGGCACCACACUGCUUCCCUCUCCCCUUCCCAACAGAAAAGGAUGGAAUGAGGAGAGAUCUGAGAGAAGGAACUGGGGACCUGAUUUUACUAUCAAAAAAUGAAAGGGGAGAGAAAGGAGAGGGUGUCAUCUGCCAUUCUGCCUCAGGCAGGAAAAUGUCCUGGGCCAGCACUAUCUUCUCCAGCUGGUAUACAUCUCUCAUGAAGAGCGAGACAGAUUUUCACUUUCCAGUAUUUGUAAAUAGGAAAGUUAUAUGGACAAUGUGCCACAGCUAGGCAGUUCUUAUAUAUAGCAGCAUGAGGAACUUGCAGGGUUGUCGUGGAAAGAACCAAAGGCAGUUGGAUCCUGUGGCUGUAAGACUAUGUGGAUAAACACUUGGAAUUCCCUGAAUAAAACUGUAGCAAACAGGAUGACACAUCUGACCAAUGACAAGGGCACCACACUGAGCUGCCUUCCCAGUACUUACUGGGAACCAAAUCUCCAUCCACACAGAUGUGGCAUGCAAACGAUACUUGCCAAUCUUUUGCCUCUGAAGUCUCUCCAUCUUCUUCAAAUGCAUAAGCUCCACUCCAUGAGACAUGUUCUUUAUGAGAAGGUUAGGAGCUGCUACAUUAAAACACUCAUUAGUUGAGAACGUAACAUAACAUCAUCCCCAGAUGGAUCCUGGUACUUUGUAUAAUUUAUCGCUUUUCAACAUUUUUACUUCCUUAGAUGGCAACUCAGAGUUAUUAAACAUCCCUGUGGAGUAAAGUCUUCCUUUUAAGAGGUUUUGGAGACCUGCAAGUGAUUAUAAAGGUCAACAAUUCAUGCAGACACACACAGUAAGGUAAUAAAGGCUAAAAAUACAUUAAAAUAAUGUUAAACAGCUGAGUAUCACCCAGGAAAUUCAGUUCGCUUGUGCCAUUAAGCAGAUGCUAUUACUCUGUGGUUAUUCUGGGCUUGU